Molecule: ribosomal RNA, 465 nt
Filed under: Vreelandella stevensii
Lineage: Bacteria; Pseudomonadati; Pseudomonadota; Gammaproteobacteria; Oceanospirillales; Halomonadaceae
Description: partial 16S ribosomal RNA
Rfam family: Bacterial small subunit ribosomal RNA
Source: RNAcentral
CCUACGGGUGGCAGCAGUGGGGAAUAUUGGACAAUGGGGGCAACCCUGAUCCAGCCAUGCCGCGUGUGUGAAGAAGGCCCUCGGGUUGUAAAGCACUUUCAGUGAGGAAGAACGCCUGGUGGUUAAUACCCAUCAGGAAAGACAUCACUCACAGAAGAAGCACCGGCUAACUCCGUGCCAACAGCCGCGGUAAUACGGAGGGUGCGAGCGUUAAUCGGAAUUACUGGGCGUAAAGCGCGCGUAGGUGGCUUGAUAAGCCGGUUGUGAAAGCCCCGGGCUCAACCUGGGAACGGCAUCCGGAACUGUCAAGCUAGAGUGCAGGAGAGGAAGGUAGAAUUCCCGGUGUAGCGGUGAAAUGCGUAGAGAUCGGGAGGAAUACCAGUGGCGAAGGCGGCCUUCUGGACUGACACUGACACUGAGGUGCGAAAGCGUGGGUAGCAAACAGGAUUAGAUACCCGAGUAGUC